Triticum aestivum (bread wheat) is the source of this 3271-nucleotide long non-coding RNA. RefSeq lists it as uncharacterized. NCBI's taxonomy places the organism in Eukaryota, Viridiplantae, Streptophyta, Magnoliopsida, Poales, Poaceae. The record is from RefSeq and is a predicted model, not a curated record. The transcript is spliced from 12 exons.
UAUGUAUGCCAAUUGGUGCUUGUUUUUGUUGUCCCUUUUAGUGUGUAUCUCUGAUGAUCUUUCAAUCUCGGUGAUCAAUGUCUGUCACUUUGGUGGGGAGAUGAAUUGUGCUGUUCUGUUUGUUGUAUGUUCAGUUGAUGAUUCGCUUGACAUAUCCACAAGGUACAGUAUGUGUGAUCCAACCACACGUCGCAUAGUUGAAUUCCGAAGCAAUUAGCUUGAUUACCUGCGGUCCAUCUAAUUCUCAUCUAAUGCUGAUUAGUUUAAGCGAGUCAACACAUAGGACGGAAAGACCCUUUUAUAGUUUUCUCAAGGGGAGUGUACCGUGUGCGGGGGCAUAUCUCUGUUCCUUUGUAUGGUUGUUUAACAAUUUGUGAAAUGCUUGUAGUAUGAUAAUCUAGAUAGUGGGGAUAUGUUACAGAAAGUGUUGUGCCUGGCCUCACAUGUACAUGAGUUGGUUUAUCAUUAAGUGCUCUCUUUCCCACUAAAUUUCACAUUUGCCAUCUGAAAAAAACAAAUCCACAUUUACCUGAUUUCAAGUUCUUAUGGACCUUAUGGUAAAGUAUUUAAGUAAUUUUAGUCGGCUCAAAAGGCUCCAAGAUUCUUUGUCUAUCAUUUCCUGUUCAAAACUGACAACAGAACUUUGUGAAGCCUUUCAGUUUGUCUUUGUUUCAGUUACUUUACCAUUCGGUCUUGAUGCCUGAACUAUGUGAACAUUGUCAGCUUAGUAAAAUGGUAUGAACUUGUGUGCCAUACACAUAGCAGGUCGAAAAAUUACCAUUGUAUUUGCAUAUACUGCUUGUGACACAAUUUUCUGAAAACAUGUUGGUGGUCAUUGGUCAACAAAAGUUUUCAGCAUUCGGCACGGUGUUAAUUAUCUUGAAUUUAUUGUGCUUCUAGAAUUAUAGAUUUCCGAAUAAUUAGAUGGUCAGCUAUGCAAUAUAAUAUUCCCAUAGUAUUGAAAUAUUCUGUUCUGCAAAUAGUCCUUCAGCAAAUGGCGCUUACACUUAAUAUGGGAUACUCCAAAUCCAUAAGAGCAGGCUAUAUCUGAUAUUUUCUCCAUACAGAGUCGGCAGCGACUUGAUUUAUAUUUUCCGCUACUUGUCAAUAUGAUGGCCUGUUGUAUAUAAAUGAGGCAUGGCCAUCACUUAUACUUGGGAACUACUUUUUAGUGAUAGUUGUAUUGACUAAGGUACUAUUUUUUCUUUCUUAAAGAUUGAUUUCUUCAGUGGUGUGUGUUUUACUUUACAGUUUUGAUAAGAUUCCAUUGCCAACACACUUUUUUCUUGACAGGGAACUACGGCGGGCUUAUGCUUACUGAACUAUAUUCGAAACUAUCAGAGUGUAUAGCAGAUUAGAGCAGAUUACAGCAGCCUGAAAGAUUGUUGGCCAUUAACGGUUAUCCAUGGCACUAAAACUACUUGAUCUCAAUACAUUCACCUCACAACACUUGUUGGCGAAAACAUGUGCUAUAGCACCAAAGAAGUUGAGGUCAAAUUAAUGAGGUCAUCGACUUGAAGAUUGAUAAAUAUGGUUCUGUUAUUAUGCAGGAGUUGUGUGAUCUGAGGAGAAACUAUUCUCUUGCAAAUCGGAUAAUUGUUGUAGGAAUUAAAAGGCACAUGAUUGUACUGUUGUUCUGGGAUUUCGUUUCUUACGUUCCUCGACCCUAAUGUCUACAUGAGGUGUGAGUUCAACGGAUAAAGGAAAUCACAUUACUAAUAGAAUGAUGCCGCAGCAAAGAAAAUGCUCUCAGCCUUGGACGAUCCAUUCACUCGAUUCUUGAAACCAUUACCUUUUCUGAAGCAAGACUAGCUAGCACCCAAGGUGCCGUGGCAGGUGUACGUUUAUCCAUUGGCUACCCGUUGGAGCAUCACUUGCGGUGCUCUUUAUAAUGUCACUUGGUGGGUUUUGCAGAAAUGACUGUCUAGAGACGUUUUAUCUUGAUAAUUGACAACAUAAGAGUGCAAAAAAUUUGACAGCAGAUCGCUUAUGGGGUCAUCAAGGAAACUCAAUAGAUGGCUAUUUCAGUGGAGAUUAUACCAGAGAUGUUGUUUUGAAAGUAUAUGCCAGGAGAGAAAGAUAUACUUGAAACCCGAUGAGGUCAAUGAUGUGGAGAUUUUACCAGAGAUGUUGUUUUCAAGUAAGAUUUUGUGUGAGAUUAUACCGAUCGCACCAGCACGCCACAUUGUUGCUCCACGGCAAAGGCAGCGAGCGACUGGCUGGCUGCUGCUGGCUUGUACGUGUGGAAGGCAGUUGUUCACGGCAGACCAGUGAGCGGCGGCGGGUGGGCGCGACCACAUGGUGGUUGGAAGGUAGGCUUCGCGGCGUUCAACCUCGGCCACCAUCGUACCACGAUCUCGGCCCACCCGGAAAGUCGGAUGAAGAGGUGGUGGACGACUGAUCCCGGAGAGGAGAACAAGCCUCCGAGCACGUGCUCGUCAACUCCAUGCCGGCCGCUCCAAGCGCCCCUGCUUCGUGUCUUCAAGGCAGGCGCCGAGAUAGCCUUUGCAGCGAGCUGUGGUGUGUGGACUCUGCGGCGAGAUGGGAUUCAGAAUCCUUUUUCGUGAUAGCACAUCCAAGGAAGGAAGGAGAUUGAGGUUGGCACCUCCUGAAGGUGUCAUGCAUGCUCUUCACCGAGAGAGGGAAGGGCAUCUUUUUCUUGGGUUGCAGUUUCCACCUUGUUGUUGGGUGAGAGCUCUUGUGGAUAAUCAGACAUGGGGUGCAUGGCAAAAUUAGGACAGACUGAAGGCAGCAAAUUCCGCGUUGGUCGUGCACUUUGAGGAGAAGACAUUGUCUUUGUAUAAGUGCCCCUACAAUCAUCUCUUUACAGCAGAGAUAAGGCCUUCAGAUAGAUAUGGCCGCAUAAAUCGCACCGAUGGAUCCAGUCCUUCGCUAGGUCCAACCUACCUUGCACCAGCCUCAAGCACGUUAUUCAGUCAACGCAUAUUCUGUCUUUUGGCAUGUGUAUGCUUGCUCUUGUGCUCAUGUUGUAAUCGUGACCUGUAAUCAGUCCAUGAUCCUUGUGUGACCAGAAGUUGGGCAUAACUGCAUUGUUACUGAGAAGAUGUGAAUAUUAACUUAGGGAUCGGAGCUGAAGCUCUAGCCGAUAGCAAAGAUAUGAAGUCUGUGCUCUGUCUUAUGUUUGCAAGUAUAUUGAUGUAACUUCACAUCUUGAAUGGAGUCACUCCUAUGUGUACUGCCGCUGUAAUUACACAACAUGGAUUUUCCAUUUUUGUGAUCAGAAAUUUUGCCAAGAAACUUGUUGGAUUAA